AGGGUGGUGAUUGUACAUAAAGCUGCAAACAUACCGGGAUUCUGUGGUAACUCUCAUUCAAAGUGAGAGCCACUUCCUAUUUUCGUACACAACUGGAAGCUGCCAUGGGACAGUGACAGUUAGGAGCAGCAGGACCUCCAGUGAUUGAAAGCAGUGAUCUGUCAAACCACAUAAAUCCGCGGACCUUCGACUGACCAGAUCCAAACAGCCAAACACUAGAGGAGCAGGAUCUUAAAGGCUGAGAAAAGAUAA
This is a long non-coding RNA of Fukomys damarensis (Damara mole-rat), 252 nucleotides long. RefSeq lists it as uncharacterized. The transcript is spliced from 3 exons. Lineage: Eukaryota; Metazoa; Chordata; Mammalia; Rodentia; Bathyergidae. The record is from RefSeq and is a predicted model, not a curated record.